GCAAACUGCGAAUACCGGAGAAUGUUAUCACGGGAGACACACGGCGGGUGCUAACGUCCGUCGUGAAGAGGGAAACAACCCAGACCGCCAGCUAAGGUCCCAAAGUCAUGGUUAAGUGGGAAACGAUGUGGGAAGGCCCAGACAGCCAGGAUGUUGGCUUAGAAGCAGCCAUCAUUUAAAGAAAGCGUAAUAGCUCACUGGUCGAGUCGGCCUGCGCGGAAGAUGUAACGGGGCUAAACCAUGCACCGAAGCUGCGGCAGCGACACUAUGUGUUGUUGGGUAGGGGAGCG
This 290-nucleotide ribosomal RNA is filed under the name Escherichia coli. RNAcentral's name for it is "partial 23S ribosomal RNA". It matches the Rfam family "Bacterial large subunit ribosomal RNA", at positions 949 to 1238 of the family's 2925-position model. The record is from RNAcentral. Lineage: Bacteria; Pseudomonadati; Pseudomonadota; Gammaproteobacteria; Enterobacterales; Enterobacteriaceae.